GAUGAACGCUGGCGGCGUGCCUAACACAUGCAAGUCGAACGGAGAAUUAUUGCCGAGGAGACUUCGGUCAAAUCAUAAUAAUUCUUAGUGGCGAACGGGUGAGUAACGCGUGGGGAACCUGCCUCACACCGGGGGAUAGCAGUUGGAAACGACUGGUAAUACCGCAUAAGCGCACAGUAUCGCAUGAUACAGUGUGAAAAACUCCGGUGGUGUGAGAUGGCCCCGCGUCUGAUUAGCUGGUUGGUAGAGUAAAAGCCUACCAAGGCGACGAUCAGUAGCCGGGUUGAGAGACCGGACGGCCACAUUGGGACUGAGACACGGCCCAGACUCCUACGGGAGGCAGCAGUGGGGGAUAUUGCACAAUGGAGGAAACUCUGAUGCAGCGACGCCGCGUGAGUGAAGAAGUAUUUCGGUAUGUAAAGCUCUAUCAGCAGGGAAGAAAGACUCGAAA
This 451-nucleotide ribosomal RNA is filed under the name Lachnospiraceae bacterium oral taxon 080. Its description in RNAcentral is "bacterial SSU rRNA". It matches the Rfam family "Bacterial small subunit ribosomal RNA", at positions 28 to 459 of the family's 1533-position model. The record is from RNAcentral. Lineage: Bacteria; Bacillati; Bacillota; Clostridia; Lachnospirales; Lachnospiraceae.